ACUCUGCAGGCGUGGCAGACAGGCACAAAGUCUGCAUGGUCACACAGAGACACCUGAGUAAAGCCCAGUGCAGGGAAUUAAAUGCACAAGAGUGUUGAGGGAAAAGAAGAGCAAGGACCAAUAGACAGAGUUGGAAGCUUGGUAUUCUUCCUGCCAGGAAAGAUUAAAUGAGAUGUUGAAUUAUCACAAGUGAAACCUGAUUUUGCCAGGAAUCACCUCUCUGCUUCAAGG
Long non-coding RNA from Pipra filicauda (Wire-tailed manakin), 231 nucleotides. RefSeq lists it as uncharacterized. The record is from RefSeq and is a predicted model, not a curated record. Lineage: Eukaryota; Metazoa; Chordata; Aves; Passeriformes; Pipridae. The transcript is spliced from 3 exons.